AACCAGCUCUUCGAGUGGUCGGGACGUAUAUUGGGUCUAAAGCGCUCGUAGCCGGACAAGUAGGUUCCUGGUUAAACCCGACAGCAUAACUGUUGGCUCGCUAGGAAUACCGCUAGUCUUGGAAGCGGGAGAGGACAGAGGUAGUCAUGGGGCAGGGGUGAAAUCCAGUGAUCCCAUGGCGACCACCGAUGGCGAAGGCAUCUGUCUGGAACGUAUUCGACGGUGAGGGGCGAAAGCUAGGGGAGCGACCCGGAUUAGAUACCCCCGUA
This 269-nucleotide ribosomal RNA is filed under the name uncultured prokaryote. RNAcentral's name for it is "partial 16S ribosomal RNA". It matches the Rfam family "Archaeal small subunit ribosomal RNA", at positions 474 to 743 of the family's 1478-position model. The record is from RNAcentral.